AUUGAACGCUGGCGGUAGGCCUAACACAUGCAAGUCGAACGGCAGCACAGAGGAGCUUGCUCCUUGGGUGGCGAGUGGCGGACGGGUGAGGAAUACAUCGGAAUCUACUUUUUCGUGGGGGAUAACGGAGGGAAACUUACGCUAAUACCGCAUACGACCUACGGGUGAAAGCAGGGGAUCUUCGGACCUUGCGCGAUUGAAUGAGCCGAUGUCGGAUUAGCUAGUUGGCGGGGUAAAGGCCCACCAAGGCGACGAUCCGUAGCUGGUCUGAGAGGAUGAUCAGCCACACUGGAACUGAGACACGGUCCAGACUCCUACGGGAGGCAGCAGUGGGGAAUAUUGGACAAUGGGCGCAAGCCUGAUCCAGCCAUACCGCGUGGGUGAAGAAGGCCUUCGGGUUGUAAAGCCCUUUUGUUGGGAAAGAAAUCCAGCCGGCUAAUACCUGGUUGGGAUGACGGUACCCAAAGAAUAAGCACCGGCUAACUUCGUGCCAGCAGCCGCGGUAA
This 506-nucleotide ribosomal RNA is filed under the name uncultured bacterium. RNAcentral's name for it is "partial 16S ribosomal RNA". It matches the Rfam family "Bacterial small subunit ribosomal RNA", at positions 30 to 523 of the family's 1533-position model. The record is from RNAcentral.